AACGAACGCUGGCGGCAGGCCUAACACAUGCAAGUCGAACGAGUAAGAGCCGUAGCAAUACGGAGUUCUGCUAGUGGCGCACGGGUGAGUAACGCGUGGGAACGUGCCUUGGAGUUCGGGAUAACAGUUGGAAACGACUGCUAAUACCGAAUAUUCCCUCAGGGGGAAAGAUUUAUCGCUCCAAGAUCGGCCCGCGUAAGAUUAGGUAGUUGGUGGGGUAAUGGCCUACCAAGCCUACGAUCUUUAGCUGGUCUGAGAGGACGACCAGCCACACUGGAACUGAGACACGGUCCAGACUCCUACGGGAGGCAGCAGUGGGGAAUAUUGGACAAUGGGCGAAAGCCUGAUCCAGCCAUGCCGCGUGAAUGAUGAAGGCCUUAGGUUGUAAAAUCUUUGCAGGGGAAGAUAAUGACGGUACCCUGCGAAUAAGCUCCGGCUAACUUCGUGCCAGCAGCCGCGGUAAU
This 464-nucleotide ribosomal RNA is filed under the name uncultured bacterium. Its description in RNAcentral is "bacterial SSU rRNA". It matches the Rfam family "Bacterial small subunit ribosomal RNA", at positions 29 to 524 of the family's 1533-position model. The record is from RNAcentral.